Molecule: ribosomal RNA, 916 nt
Filed under: uncultured archaeon
Lineage: Archaea
Description: bacterial SSU rRNA
Rfam family: Archaeal small subunit ribosomal RNA
Source: RNAcentral
UUCCGGUUGAUCCUGCCGGACCUGACUGCUAUUGGAGUAGGACUAAGUCACGCUAGUCAAAGGUGCGGAAUGGAGCACCUGGCGUACGGCUCAGUAACACGUAGUCAACCUACCCUAAGGACGAGGACAGCCACGGGAAACUGUGGCUAAUACUCGAUAAGAAAUUUGGCCUGGAACGGUAUCUUUCACAAAACCGGCUCGCCGUGAGACACGGGCCUUAGGAUGGGGCUGCGGCUGAUUAUGCUAGAUGGCGGUGUAAAGGACCACCAUGGCUACGAUCAGUAUGGGCGAUGGAAGUCGGAGCCCAGAGUCGGCUACUGAGACAAGGAGCCGAGCUUUACGAAGCUUAGCGGUCGCGAAAACUCGCCAAUGCACGAAAGUGUGAGUGGGCUACUCCAAGUGUCAUUCUUACGGAUGACUGUCGCACAGUCUUACCAGCUGUGAAAGGAAGGAGAGGGCAAGGCUGGUGCCAGCCGCCGCGGUAAAACCAGCUCUUCGAGUGGUCAGGACGAAUAUUGGGUCUAAAGCGCUCGUAGCCGGACAAGUAGGUUCUUGGUUAAAUCCGACAGCAUAACUGUUGGUCUGCUGGGAAUACCGCUAGUCUUGGGAGCGGGAGAGGACAGAGGUAGUCAUAGGGCAGGGGUGAAAUCCAGUGAUCCUAUGGCGACCACCGAUGGCGAAGGCAUCUGUCUGGAACGUAUCCGACGGUGAGGGGCGAAAGCUAGGGGAGCGACCCGGAUUAGAUACCCGGUUAGUCCUAGCCGUAAACGAUGCGGACUAGGUGUUACAGCGGCCAAGAGCCACUGUAGUGCCACAGUGAAGACGUUAAGUCCGCCACCUGGGGAGUACGGAUGCAAGUCUGAAACUUAAAGGAAUUGACGGGGGCGCACCACCAGGAGUGAAGCCUGCGGUUUAA